RNAcentral lists this ribosomal RNA (337 nucleotides) under Semotilus atromaculatus (creek chub). RNAcentral's name for it is "partial 16S ribosomal RNA". It matches the Rfam family "Bacterial large subunit ribosomal RNA", at positions 675 to 1084 of the family's 2925-position model. Lineage: Eukaryota; Metazoa; Chordata; Actinopteri; Cypriniformes; Leuciscidae. The record is from RNAcentral.
CAGCACCCUCAAGCAAAGAGACCUUUAGUUUGAAACCCCGAAACCAAGUGAGCUACCCCGAGACAGCCUAUAUAAUUUAGGGCUAACCCGUCUCUGUGGCAAAAGAGUGGGACGAGCUCCGGGUAGAAGUGACAGACCUACCGAACUUGGUGAUAGCUGGUUGCCUGAGAAAUGGAUAGAAGUUCAGCCUCGCACACCCCAAACCAGUUGACGUAUCAUUAAGGUAUUAAGGGAAAUAUACGAGAGUUAGUUAAAGGGGGUACAGCCCCUUUGACAAAGGAUACAACCUUUACAGGAGGAUAAAGAUCAUAGUUUAUAAGACAUACUGUCCCAGUGG